UACGGAGGGAGCUAGCGUUGUUCGGAAUUACUGGGCGUAAAGCGCACGUAGGCGGCUUUGUAAGUUAGAGGUGAAAGCCCGGGGCUCAACCCCGGAAUUGCCUUUAAGACUGCAUCGCUUGAAUCCGGGAGAGGUGAGUGGAAUUCCGAGUGUAGAGGUGAAAUUCGUAGAUAUUCGGAAGAACACCAGUGGCGAAGGCGGCUCACUGGCCCGAUACUGACGCUGAGGCACGAAAGCGUGGGGAGCAAACAGG
This 253-nucleotide ribosomal RNA is filed under the name uncultured bacterium. RNAcentral's name for it is "partial 16S ribosomal RNA". It matches the Rfam family "Bacterial small subunit ribosomal RNA", at positions 524 to 776 of the family's 1533-position model. The record is from RNAcentral.